Molecule: ribosomal RNA, 283 nt
Filed under: uncultured bacterium
Lineage: Bacteria
Description: partial 16S ribosomal RNA
Rfam family: Bacterial small subunit ribosomal RNA
Source: RNAcentral
GGAUGAGCCCGCGGCCUAUUAGCUAGUUGGUGAGGUAAGAGCUCACCAAGGCGACGAUCGGUAGCCGGCCUGAGAGGGCACACGGCCACACUGGCACUGAAACACGGGCCAGACUCCUACGGGAGGCAGCAGUGGGGAAUCUUGCACAAUGGGGCAACCCUGAUGCAGCGACGCCGCGUGGGCGAUGAAGCCCUUCGGGGUGUGAAGCUCUUUCGGCAGGGACGAUAAUGACGGUACCUGCAGAAGCAGCUGCGGCUAACUACGUGCCAGCAGCCGCGGCCGA